RNAcentral lists this long non-coding RNA (221 nucleotides) under Capsicum annuum. Its description in RNAcentral is "long non-coding RNA (CANN_LNC008505)". Lineage: Eukaryota; Viridiplantae; Streptophyta; Magnoliopsida; Solanales; Solanaceae. The record is from RNAcentral.
GGCUCAUGACUUACAAUUUUUCACCUUGUUACUUGACUUUUAAAUUUCUUCACCCUGUACUCUAGGUGGGCUCCUGACUUGAUAUUUCUUAGUCUGUUGACUUUUAAUCUUAUCACCCUAUUAUUCCGGAGGGUUCCCGACUUGUAAUUUCAUCACCCUGUUCUUUAAACGAGCUCCUGACUUUCAGUUUAAUCAACCUGUUCUCCAGGAGGGCUCCCGGC